UCUGCAGACAGAGAACCCAGCUUACUUCCAGACCUCCUCCAGGGUAGACAGAUCGCACAGAAGCACUCAGUAUUCUCAUGUUAGAGAUGGGGAAACUGGAGCUUGGAGUCUUAGUGGAAACCCUGGGCCUCACUGAUAUUCCAGCAGUCCUCUCCUACUGGGUGAAUAGGAGCAUCUGAAAAUAACCAGAUCAGGGACGGAGGAGUCAAGGCACAAGGUGAGUCCCGCCAUUCUGUACGUGGUAAGGCACUAUUGUCAUGAUUUUUCCUUACUGGAUACUAGAUUUUCCCAUGGUUGAGGUCACAGUUCAGGAGACAGGCUCCAACCCGUCUCACAGGAACUGCUUUCCCCAAACGAUAAACAUCAGUACUGCCCAAGACUCUGAUGGCCAUAAAGCGUAUCCUCUUCCCUGCAAGUGACUUAGGGAGAACCACAGAUCCAUCUCUCAGUUACAGCUAGGGUGAACCAAGCAACAGAGGGUUAAGUGACUUGACCGAGGUCACCAAAGAAGAUCCUGGCAGCACCAAGCCCAGCCUGGCCCACCCCCAGGUAUGAGCAUGGUCCAUUAUGCUAUCCAGCCUAGGCCCAUCCGACAGAAACAAAAACUACUGAUCGUUCGUUCAUUCAUUCAUUCCUUCAUUCAUUCAUUCAUUAUGUCCCAGAUGCCAUGCAAAAGGUGCUGGGACUACAUUAGAACAUUAAAAAAAACACAGGAUCCCAGCCCUCAAGGGGCUUUUAGUCAAGGGCUGGAGCCAAUUAGAGAGUGGGAAAGUCUGGCUGGGUGUGGUGGCUCACAACUGUAAUCCCAGCACUUUGGGAGGUCAAGGCAGGAAGACUGCUUGAGCCCAGAAGUCUGAGACCAGCUUGGGCAGCACAGUGAGACCCCCAUCUCUAUAAGAAAUUUAAAAAUUAGCUGGGCAUGGUGGCAUUUACCUGUAGUCCCAGCCACUUGGGAGGCUGAGGUGGGAGGUUUGCUUAAGCCUGGGAGGUUGAGGUUGCAGUAAGCCGUGAUUGUGCCAUGCACUCCAGCCUGUGUGACAUGGUGAGACCUUGUCUCAAAAAAAAAAAAAAAAAAAAAAAAAAGAAAGAAAAAGAGAGAGUGGGAAGGUCCUUCCAGGGCUCAGUCUGCUCAGGGACAAUGGUAUGUAAUGUCUGGGGGUGCUGCGGAGGAAUGAUAUUCUUUGAAGGUACAGGAUUGUUGGGCGCAGUGGUUCACACCUAUGAUCCCAGCACUUUGGGAGACCAAGGAGGGCAGAUUGCUCACACUCAGGAGUUCAAGACCAACCUAGGCAACACAGUGAGACCCUGUUUCUACCAAAAAUACAAAAAAUUAGCAGGGCAUGGUGGCACAUGCCUGUAGUCCCAGCUACUCGGCAGGCUGAGGCAGGAGAAUCACUUGAACCUGGGAGGUGGAGGGAGGUUGUAGUGAGCCAAGGUGGUGCCAUUGCACUCCAGCCUGGGUGACAGAGGGAGACCCCAUCUCAAAAAAAAAAAAAAAAAAAAAAAAGAAAGAAAGAAACAGGAUUGAUGGAGACAGACGUUCUCACCAUCCCCUAAAAGGAGCAUGAAUGAGUCAACAUAUCCCUGUCUAAAUAGCCAUCAACCAUUUACUGAGCACCUACUAUAUACCACAUCUGUGUCAGAAGCUGGAGAUAAAGAAAUCAAUGAUAGAUACCUCCUGCUCUUAAAGAACUUAAAUCAGAGGGGGAGACAAGUACAUUAAAACACGUCAUAAGAACAGAGAAUGAUAGGAACAAGGAAGGGAAGGCCCUAACCCACAUUGGGAGUGGUGAGGGAAACCUCCAGGUGGGGAGGUAUUCCCUGCACUGAGUCUUAAAGGACAACAAGGUGUUAACCAGCUCAAGACAAAGCAGGGACAUGGGCAGAAAAACAGGACACGGGGUCCAUGGGGGUGAACUAUAAGCAACUUGGUAUAAGCAGCUCCAUUGGACCGAAAUGGAGAAGCAAAGCAAGGGUGAGAGGUAAGUGGGGCCCAGGAGCAACAUCCAGCCUGGUGGGGCUGGGAGUGGGGGGCUGCCUGCUUGGACACCCCUCUUCCCCAUUCCAUCACCCAGGACCCUCCCACCCAUCCUGCAAACACCAGCUGCAAGUGCCUUGAGGCCGGGGAACACCCUUUCUCCUCUUCAGUCCCAGCACAGGCCUUGGUAUAGAAUAGGUGCUAACUAAAUGCUUGCUAAAUGCAUGCCAGGGGAAUAAAUUAAU
Molecule: long non-coding RNA, 2223 nt
Organism: Pan troglodytes (chimpanzee)
Lineage: Eukaryota; Metazoa; Chordata; Mammalia; Primates; Hominidae
Exons: 2
Source: RefSeq, a predicted model, not a curated record